RNAcentral lists this transfer RNA (73 nucleotides) under Myotis davidii. It matches the Rfam family "tRNA". Rfam says of the family: Transfer RNA (tRNA) molecules are approximately 80 nucleotides in length. Their secondary structure includes four short double-helical elements and three loops (D, anti-codon, and T loops). The record is from Rfam by way of RNAcentral. Lineage: Eukaryota; Metazoa; Chordata; Mammalia; Chiroptera; Vespertilionidae.
GCCAGUUUGGCUCAGUGGUUAGAGCAUUGGCCUGAGAACUGAAGGGUCCUGGGUUCAAUUCCAGGCAAGGGCA